AGAGGGGUUAACUACUUUUUAAAAAUAUUUAUUUAUUUGAGAGAGAGAGAGAGAGAAAGAGAAAGAACGAGAGGGAGGGGCGGAAGGAGAGAGAAUCUGAAGCACACUCCAGGCAGAGCGCAGAACCUGACGCAGAGCUCCAUCUCAGGACCCUGAGAUCACGACCUGAGCCAAAACCAAGAGGUGGCUACUCAACUGACCACACCACCAAGGCACCCCAGGAGUUCACUAUUUUGAAGGUUUGGAAGAGUGGAGGCUAUGUCCUCCAUUGUGGAAACUUGACAAGGGUGGCCUGCCCGAUCAAUUCUGAACAAUGAAUUUCCUCUGGUACAUCUUCAGGUAGCUGUGUAAAAAAGCAACACAUAAAGUGUCCUGGUAAUUGCAGACAACUGGCUGUGGUUUGAAGAAAGGGAACCAAGUAAAGUUUACUCGCCAAUGAAGACGGCCAGCCCAGAGCCUCAUCUA
This is a long non-coding RNA of Lutra lutra (Eurasian river otter), 465 nucleotides long. RefSeq lists it as uncharacterized. The record is from RefSeq and is a predicted model, not a curated record. The transcript is spliced from 3 exons. Lineage: Eukaryota; Metazoa; Chordata; Mammalia; Carnivora; Mustelidae.